RNAcentral lists this transfer RNA (75 nucleotides) under Rhodobacter sp. Its description in RNAcentral is "tRNA-Gln". It matches the Rfam family "tRNA". From Rfam's summary of the family: Transfer RNA (tRNA) molecules are approximately 80 nucleotides in length. Their secondary structure includes four short double-helical elements and three loops (D, anti-codon, and T loops). Further hydrogen bonds mediate the characteristic L-shaped molecular structure. tRNAs have two regions of fundamental functional importance: the anti-codon, which is responsible for specific mRNA codon recognition, and the 3' end, to which the tRNAs corresponding amino acid is attached (by aminoacyl-tRNA synthetases). tRNAs cope with the degeneracy of the genetic code in two manners: having more than one tRNA (with a specific anti-codon) for a particular amino acid; and 'wobble' base-pairing, i.e. permitting non-standard base-pairing at the 3rd anti-codon position. Lineage: Bacteria; Pseudomonadati; Pseudomonadota; Alphaproteobacteria; Rhodobacterales. RNAcentral also lists the same sequence under 14 other names. The record is from RNAcentral.
UGGGGCGUCGCCAAGUGGUAAGGCAUCGGUUUUUGGUACCGACAUACCUAGGUUCGAAUCCUAGCGCCCCAGCCA